UAAAUCUUAUAAUUCAACCUUCACUACCCAAAGUAAUAUGCAUAUUCAAGUGACUAUAUAACACCUAUGUACAUGCCACCUUUACCCAAAAGAAAAAUAUACAUCACCAAAUUUGUGUUGGAGUCGGGAAUGUUCUGGAUGCUGAACCGGGACACUUGACUUCUACUAACCUGCGCACGGAAACAACCGUACGCUGAGUAUGGAUAUACUCAGUGAUAUUACCAUAAUUCAAAUUAUAUCAACAAUAGUAAAAAUAUAAAUAUUAAAAUACCUAACAAUUAAUGUCAUAUGUACUAAUUCAUAAAUCAAUGUAUUUUCUCAAACUUAAAUUUAUAUCACUUAUGAAUAUACAUUUCAUACUUUUCUCUUAUUAUCACAAUUCCAAUUUCAAUUCGUAAUUCAAUUUAUUUUUCUCGUUUCAAUGCCUCAAAUUCACAUUUCAAUUUUUCACCCUAUUAACGUAACUCGGACUUUGGCGGAUACACGGAUCCAACCAAACACACCAAUAUGGCACCCAGUGCCUCAUCGGAUAGUUCGAAGUAAUAGUUGACACCCAGUGUCUCAUCGGCCUAGCCGAAGUAAAGUUGGUACCCGGUACCUCAUCGAAUCUAUCCGAAGAAAUAUAGUGACAUCCAGUGUCUCAUCGACUCGAGGUCGAAGUAUCCCUGAACACUUCCAAUCCUAUGGCAUGCCAACUAUAUCCGACUCAGCCCGACUAGUUAAUAGGGUAUUCAAUUCACUUUCUCAAUCCUCUAUCAUCCCUGAACACUUCCAAUCCUAUGGCAUGUCAACUAUAUCCGACUCAGCCCGACUAGUUAAUAGGGUAUUCAAUUCACUUUCUCAAUCCUCUAUCACUUUCAAUUCACAAUUCAAAUCACCAAUCAUUUUUCAAUCAAUACGCUUUUCAAAUAAUUACAUCUUCCAUAAUUCACUUAUUCAAUUCAAUUUGAUUCAAUUUGCAUCACUUUCAUUUUCACUCAAUAUUCAUAUCAAUUUCACAUACUUACCUCAAGUCUUACUUACCAUACAUAACAAUAAAAAAAAUUCAGCAAUCAAUAAUAAUUAAAAUUCGAAUUAUAGUAAUACACACCGUAAUUCUCCCGUUUUAGUACUCGAUGACUUUCUCCUUUCCUUUCGAUGCUGAUGCUUCAGGUUCUUUGUUGGCUACGAAAAUAAUAAUUUAUAAUCAUCAAUACAACAUGAUUCAAUUUAAUUCAUGAGCCUAAACAUGCAAAUUUAACCAUUUUUAAUGUAUAUAUAUAAUUUCACCAUUAAGCUGUCUACUUGAGUCAUUGUUACUAAAUUAUUUAUAUCUUGAGCUACGAAACUCCAAAUUAAUAUCCGUAAAUUUUCCUUAAAACUAGACUCAUAUAUCUUCUAAUCAUAAAAUUUCCAGAAUUUUUGGUCUAGCCAUUUAAUACAGUUUAUUCGUUAAAUACUCCCCUGUUAUUUCAUUUGACAGUUCUGACCUCUCUCUACUAAAACUAAAUUAUCUCAUUGUACAGAACUCGAAUAAGGUUCUUGUUUAUUUAUUUUGAAACUAGAUUUAUUAAGGAGUUCACAUAUAUAAAUUACACUCCAUAAUAAUUUUUGUACAAUUUUUAAUGAUUUUCCAAAGUUAAAACAGGGCAUCUCGAAAUCACCCCGAACCAGUAUUACAAAAUUUCAAAUAUCUCUUGAUUCAUCAAUUAAUUGCUUACACUGUUUCUACUAUAAGAAACUAGACUCAAUAAGCUUUAAUUCCAUAUUUUGUUCAUCCUCUAGUUCAAUUUAUAAAAUUUUUAGUGAAUUUUCAAAGUCAGACCAUUGCUACUUCCCAAAACUGUUUUGAUGAAAAAUGUUAAUAACCAAAUUUAUAACACCAAUUCACACCUUAUUCCUAUUCAAAUUUCAUUUAAACUCAAAUUUAACUAUUAAAUUUUUAACAUAUUUUCUUAAUUCCUAAUUUUCCUCAAUCUAGUCCCUAAAACACAAAACUUAUAGCUUACUUUGCAAUUCAAUCCUUAUAUCUAUUCUAACUUGAAUUUCGUUCAAUUAAACCCCUAUUUCAUCAUUUUAUUCAACAUGAACUUUGUUUAAAAACCUAAGAACUUCGAAACUAACAACUUAAUUUCACCAAAAACUUGUUUUAAGACUUCUAAAAUAUCAAAAUUAUGAGAAAAGGACUUGAUUGAGCUUACCAAUUAACUCUAAGCUUCAUAAACCUUAUUUCCCCUUUUCUUUCUUCUUUCCUUUCUUUCUCCCCUGUUCUUCUCUGUU
RNAcentral lists this long non-coding RNA (2259 nucleotides) under Gossypium barbadense (sea-island cotton). RNAcentral describes it as "long non-coding RNA (GBAR_LNC009805)". Lineage: Eukaryota; Viridiplantae; Streptophyta; Magnoliopsida; Malvales; Malvaceae. The record is from RNAcentral.